UACGUAGGGUGCAAGCGUUGUCCGGAAUUAUUGGGCGUAAAGAGCUCGUAGGCGGUCUGUCGCGUCGGCUGUGAAAACCCGGAGCUCAACUCCGGGCCUGCAGUCGAUACGGGCAAACUGGAGUGUUGCAGGGGAGACUGGAAUUCCUGGUGUAGCGGUGAAAUGCGCAGAUAUCAGGAAGAACACCCGUGGCGAAGGCGGCUCUCUGGGACGGUACUGACGCUGAGACGCGAAAGCCAGGGGAGCGAACGGG
Molecule: ribosomal RNA, 253 nt
Filed under: uncultured bacterium
Lineage: Bacteria
Description: partial 16S ribosomal RNA
Rfam family: Bacterial small subunit ribosomal RNA
Source: RNAcentral